AAAUUGAAGAGUUUGAUCAUGGCUCAGAUUGAACGCUGGCGGCAGGCCUAAUACAUGCAAGUCGAACGGUAACAG
RNAcentral lists this ribosomal RNA (75 nucleotides) under Escherichia coli. RNAcentral describes it as "partial 16S ribosomal RNA". It matches the Rfam family "Bacterial small subunit ribosomal RNA", at positions 1 to 75 of the family's 1533-position model. The record is from RNAcentral. Lineage: Bacteria; Pseudomonadati; Pseudomonadota; Gammaproteobacteria; Enterobacterales; Enterobacteriaceae.